This 29-nucleotide non-coding RNA is filed under the name Homo sapiens (human). The record is from RNAcentral. Lineage: Eukaryota; Metazoa; Chordata; Mammalia; Primates; Hominidae.
GUGAAAUGAAUGAAGAAACCUGUCCCUUU